AGCGUGUCUGACUCCGGUUCGAUACAGAUUCACGUACAAGGAUAGAGUGUGCGAUUCUUAAGAGUAGGAGAGACUCGGCCUGCCCAACACCAUAAGAAAAAAUAACAAAAGAAAGAGGAAGAAGAAUGUUACCCUCCUUAUACAAUACACGGACAAGGCCAGUGAAGGGACAUUGUGAUUUCCGUUCCCUUCUCGACAGCUGAUGGACACACACACACACACACACACACACACACACUCAAAACAAGCUCCAGCAAUUCAUCAUGUAAGACUGGCCAUGUAACGCAACACCACCAAGCCCCAAAGAUCAAACCCUGGCCCUCCAAGUAUGAGUCAGGGCAGCCGACCAACACAGCCACCGAUGAGCUGAAAGGUCACUGCACCAGAGGCCACUUCUGCAGCACUGUGCCUGAUGCCCCGGACCCAUGAAACCUUGUCUCUCGGCCGACCCAAGCCAUCAAGUGUGUGUCAGCGCAGAGACACACCAGGAACACAUGACAGCCCUUGGCCCCACCUCAGCGCUGCUCCUGUACUGCUACGUUGAAUUUUCUACUGAUGGAGAAGGGAAGAGAGAAGAGAGAAUCCUGUCUGACAAGUAUCUUCCUCCUCCCUUCUUCUCUUCUUUGCAACAAAUAGAUGAUGAAAUGAAGAGGAGGAGGAGGAGGAGGAGGAGGAUGGAGAGAAGAAGAAAAGAGGAGGAGGAGGAGGAGGAUGGAGAGAAGAAGA
Molecule: long non-coding RNA, 726 nt
Organism: Eriocheir sinensis (Chinese mitten crab)
Lineage: Eukaryota; Metazoa; Arthropoda; Malacostraca; Decapoda; Varunidae
Exons: 5
Source: RefSeq, a predicted model, not a curated record